UUUUUAAACUAAACGACACACACAUUCCGACACAAUAGUCUGGGUGCCUUUUAGGUCGAAAUAUGACUUGAUUGGUUGAUUAUUGGGGGAUGUGGAGGCUUAAC
This 104-nucleotide small RNA is filed under the name marine eukaryotic metagenome. RNAcentral describes it as "t44 RNA". It matches the Rfam family "t44 RNA". Rfam says of the family: This family consists of a number of bacterial RNA genes of between 135 and 170 bases in length. The t44 gene is found between the map and rpsB genes in all species in the full alignment apart from Shigella flexneri. The record is from RNAcentral.